This 372-nucleotide ribosomal RNA is filed under the name uncultured organism. RNAcentral's name for it is "partial 16S ribosomal RNA". It matches the Rfam family "Bacterial small subunit ribosomal RNA", at positions 527 to 896 of the family's 1533-position model. The record is from RNAcentral.
GUAGGUGGCAAGCGUUGUCCGGAAUUAUUGGGCGUAAAGCGCGCGCAGGCGGUUCUUUAAGUCUGAUGUGAAAGCCCACGGCUCAACCGUGGAGGGUCAUUGGAAACUGGAGAACUUGAGUACAGAAGAGGAAAGCGGAAUUCCACGUGUAGCGGUGAAAUGCGUAGAGAUGUGGAGGAACACCAGUGGCGGAGGCGGCUUUCUGGUCUGUAACUGACGCUGAGGCGCGAAAGCGUGGGGAGCAAACAGGAUUAGAUACCCUGGUAGUCCACGCCGUAAACGAUGAGUGCUAAGUGUUAGGGGGUUUUCCGCCCCCCUUAGUGCUGCAGCUAACGCAUUAAGCACUCCGCCUGGGAUACGGCCGCAAGGCUG